UCUCAGUUCAGACUGUGGGCUGUAACUCGCCCACACGAAGUCGGAAUUGCUAGUAAUCGCGGAUCAGCAUGCCGCGGUGAAUACGUUCCCGGGCCUUGUACACACCGCCCGUCAAACCAUGAGAGUUGGAAACACCCGAAGUCUGUUGCCUAACCGUAAGGAGGGCGCAGCCGAAGGUGGGUCUGAUGAUUGGGGUUAAGUCGUAACAAGGUAUC
Molecule: ribosomal RNA, 215 nt
Filed under: uncultured bacterium
Lineage: Bacteria
Description: partial 16S ribosomal RNA
Rfam family: Bacterial small subunit ribosomal RNA
Source: RNAcentral